Molecule: ribosomal RNA, 491 nt
Filed under: uncultured bacterium
Lineage: Bacteria
Description: partial 16S ribosomal RNA
Rfam family: Bacterial small subunit ribosomal RNA
Source: RNAcentral
AGUGAACGCUGGCGGUAGGCCUAACACAUGCAAGUCGAACGGCAGCACAGUAAGAGCUUGCUCUUACGGGUGGCGAGUGGCGGACGGGUGAGGAAUACAUCGGAAUCUACUUUUUCGUGGGGGAAAACGUAGGGAAACUUACGCUAAUACCGCAUACGACCUACGGGUGAAAGCAGGGGAUCUUCGGACCUUGCGCGAUUGAAUGAGCCGAUGUCGGAUUAGCUAGUUGGCGGGGUAAAGGCCCACCAAGGCGACGAUCCGUAGCUGGUCUGAGAGGAUGAUCAGCCACACGGAAACUGAGACACCGUCCAGAAUCCUACGAGAGGCAGCAGUGGGGAAUAUUGGACAAUGGGCGAAAUCCUGAUCCAGCCAUACCGCGUGGGUGAAGAAGGCCUUCGGGUUGUAAAGCCCUUUUGUUGGGAAAGAAAAGCAGCAGGUUAAUACCCCGCUGUUCUGACGGUACCCAAAGAAUAAGCACCGGCUAACUUCGU